RNAcentral lists this long non-coding RNA (458 nucleotides) under Pan troglodytes (chimpanzee). RNAcentral describes it as "long non-coding RNA NONPTRT000827". The record is from RNAcentral. Lineage: Eukaryota; Metazoa; Chordata; Mammalia; Primates; Hominidae.
UAGGGAUCACUGGACUCAAGAGGCGCUGAGAAGCAUUUUCUCCUCCCGUCUUUUGGAGGUGUUUGUGAAGAUCUGAUAUUAACUCCUCUUCAGGUGUUUGGUAGAAUUCAGCAGUGAAGCUGUCUGCGGGGCAGAUGCCUGUGAAAGGCGCCCUGGUGUGUUCGAGGCACAAUGAUGACGAGCCUCCUACUCGCCUGGCCUCCACCGCCCACCCAGCACCCCUGGGGACUGUCCCCAUCCCCCCAGGGACUCCAGAGGGAAUGUGUUUUGUGCCGUGUGGAAAACAAGCCAUGCUCACUGCACACCACGACAGGCCCUUCAAGCUGUCAGAGUCCCUGCAUGUGGAGUGAAAAGGGGGAAAAAAGACAAUUUACAAUUGCAAAUUGGAACCCCUCUCUCGGAGUGGAGUGAUAAUCCAGCUAGGGAGACAGAUGGUGAGGAAGUGCUCCAGGAACAUG